RNAcentral lists this transfer RNA (76 nucleotides) under Candidatus Falkowbacteria bacterium CG_4_10_14_0_2_um_filter_36_22. RNAcentral's name for it is "tRNA-Ile". It matches the Rfam family "tRNA". From Rfam's summary of the family: Transfer RNA (tRNA) molecules are approximately 80 nucleotides in length. RNAcentral also lists the same sequence under 1 other name. The record is from RNAcentral. Lineage: Bacteria; Candidatus Falkowiibacteriota.
GCGCUUGUAGCUCAGCGGUGAGAGCACCGGCCUUAUAAGCCGGGGGUCGAUGGUUCAAAUCCAUCCAAGCGCACAA